This 197-nucleotide ribosomal RNA is filed under the name uncultured bacterium. RNAcentral's name for it is "partial 16S ribosomal RNA". It matches the Rfam family "Bacterial small subunit ribosomal RNA", at positions 328 to 539 of the family's 1533-position model. The record is from RNAcentral.
ACGCUCGACACCUACGGAGGCAGCAGUGGGGAAUAUUGCACAAUGGGGGAAACCCUGAUGCAGCGACGCCGCGUGAGUGAAGAAGUAUUUCGGUAUGUAAAGCUCUAUCAGCAGGGAAGAAAAUGACGGUACCUGACUAAGAAGCCCCGGCUAACUACGUACCAGCAGCCGCGGUAAUCUGAGCGGGCUGGCAAGGC